Molecule: ribosomal RNA, 511 nt
Filed under: uncultured bacterium
Lineage: Bacteria
Description: partial 16S ribosomal RNA
Source: RNAcentral
GGAGUUAGCCGGUGCUUCUUCUGCGAGUAACGUCACAGAUGUAAGGUAUUAACUUACACCCUUUCCUCCUCGCUGAAAGUGCUUUACAACCCGAAGGCCUUCUUCACACACGCGGCAUGGCUGCAUCAGGGUUUCCCCCAUUGUGCAAUAUUCCCCACUGCUGCCUCCCGUAGGAGUCUGGGCCGUGUCUCAGUCCCAGUGUGGCUGAUCAUCCUCUCAGACCAGCUAGGGAUCGUCGCCUAGGUGAGCCUUUACCUCACCUACUAGCUAAUCCCACCUGGGCUUAUCCAUCAGCGCAAGGCCCGAAGGUCCCCUGCUUUCCCCCGUAGGGCGUAUGCGGUAUUAGCAGUCGUUUCCAACUGUUAUCCCCACAAAUGGGCAAAUUCCCCAGGCAUUACUCACCCGUCCGCCGCUCGUCAUCUUCAAAAGCAAGCUUUUGAAAUGUUACCGCUCGACUUGCAUGUGUUAGGCCUGCCGCCAGCGUUCAAUCUGAGCCAUGAUCAAACUCUGA